CCUACGGGCGGCAGCAGUGAGGAAUAUUGGUCAAUGGACGCAAGUCUGAACCAGCCAUGCCGCGUGCAGGAAGACGGCUCUAUGAGUUGUAAACUGCUUUUGUCCGAGGGUAAACUCAGACACGCGUACCUGACUGAAAGUACCGUACGAAUAAGGAUCGGCUAACUCCGUGCCAGCAGCCGCGGUAAUACGGAGGAUUCAAGCGUUAUCCGGAUUUAUUGGGUUUAAAGGGAGCGUAGGCGGGCCGGUAAGUUAGAGGUGAAAUCCCGGGGCUCAACCUCGGAAUUGCGUCUGAAACUGUUCGGCUAGAGUGUAGUUGCGGUAGGCGGAAUGUAUGGUGUAGCGGUGAAAUGCUUAGAGAUCACGCAGAACACCGAUUGCGAAGGCAGCUUACCGAACUACUACUGACGUUGAGGCACGAAAGCGUGGGUAGCAAACAGGAUUAGAUACCCCUGUAGUC
Molecule: ribosomal RNA, 460 nt
Filed under: uncultured bacterium
Lineage: Bacteria
Description: partial 16S ribosomal RNA
Rfam family: Bacterial small subunit ribosomal RNA
Source: RNAcentral